UCUGUCUUUUCAUGUAUUUACUUCUCUUUUUGUUGUUUUGCUUUUCUUUCCUUGGCCUUCCGGGCUUUGUAGCGUGUAUUUCGGAAAUGGAAUGAAAAGGGUGUUUUGUGUUACCUCGUUCGUGCGUUGUAUUAGAUUGUCGUCCGCCGAACUUUUCUUGUCGUUCGACUUGUCUGAUGUAGACGUCGUUGGGAGACGCCCAGUCGUCGAUGCGUUAGCUUGCCUUCCUCGUCGUACAUGGCCGCAAGCCCGAGCUUGGCGGUCCGGACUCCGCAUUACUUCGAGGAUGUCGCUGUCUUCUUGACCUGUG
This 310-nucleotide long non-coding RNA is filed under the name Elaeis guineensis (African oil palm). RNAcentral describes it as "long non-coding RNA (EGUI_LNC028748)". The record is from RNAcentral. Lineage: Eukaryota; Viridiplantae; Streptophyta; Magnoliopsida; Arecales; Arecaceae.